CUAAAAACUUAGCUUUACUUCCCCCCAAUGUUUACCCUAAUUCUUAACAAUAAAAUAAAACAUUUUAUACAUUAAGUAAAGGCGAUUAAAAAAUGUCUUAAAGCUAUAAAACAAGUACCGCAAGGGAACAGUGAAAUAACAAUGAAAAAUUAAAGCAUAUAAAAGUAGAGCUUCAACCUCGUACCUUUUGCAUCAUGGUCUAACUAGUCCCCUCAAGCAGAAUGAAUUUUAAGUUUGACCCCCCGAAACUAAGUGAGCUACUUAAAAACAGCCUUCUGGGCCAACCCGUCUCUGUUGCAAAAGAGUGGGAAGAUUUUUAAGUAGAGGUGAUAAACCUACCGAACCUAGAGAUAGCUGGUUAUUCAGGAAAAGGAUUUAAGUCCUACCUUAGGUUUUUAUACAACACAAGUAACCCAAAACCUUAAGAGCUAUUCAAAUAAGGUACAGCCUAUUUGAAACAGGAUACAACCUCA
Molecule: ribosomal RNA, 473 nt
Filed under: Microhyla heymonsi (Taiwan rice frog)
Lineage: Eukaryota; Metazoa; Chordata; Amphibia; Anura; Microhylidae
Description: partial large subunit ribosomal RNA
Rfam family: Bacterial large subunit ribosomal RNA (bases 161-473)
Source: RNAcentral